This 69-nucleotide transfer RNA is filed under the name Marmota monax (woodchuck). RNAcentral's name for it is "tRNA.Ala". Lineage: Eukaryota; Metazoa; Chordata; Mammalia; Rodentia; Sciuridae. The record is from RNAcentral.
GGUUUGUAGCUCAGUUGGUAGAGCGCUCACCUAGCAAGUGUGAGGCACUGGGUUGGAUCUUCAGCACCA